Molecule: long non-coding RNA, 1633 nt
Filed under: Salmo salar (Atlantic salmon)
Lineage: Eukaryota; Metazoa; Chordata; Actinopteri; Salmoniformes; Salmonidae
Description: lncRNA (ENSSSAG00000092809.1)
Rfam family: UnaL2 LINE 3' element (bases 23-76)
Source: RNAcentral
UUCCACUGGAUAUCAUAAGGUGAAUGCACCAUUUUGUAAGUCGCUCUGGAUAAGAGCGUCUGCUAAAUGACUUAAAUGUAAUGUAAAUGUAAUGUUACACACAUCGCUGUUGAUCCACCCACUACUUUUGCAACGCCCACUUUCAGACCCACUCCAGGUAUGAAGUUACCCAUACUUGCUGUCAUUCUCUACAUACUUCAGUCUGAGACUGCCAUCAUUGAAGUUGUUUGUGGUGACGAUAGGCACAAGGGGCAUUGUACAAAACAAAGUAAUCAGCGAUUGGAUCGUCUGUAACCAAUCAAAGCCAAUGACACAUUUUCAAACCCACGUGUUCUAGCUCUGGCUAAACCCAUCGGUUUCUGAACCAAUCAGACAGCCCCGAAUGUGUUCACAUUGGGAGACGGGUCGGGGAGGUACUCAGAUCCAAAGUCAUUGCAGAGAAGAAACUAACGUCCGUGGGCGUGGCGUAGUGUUUGGCCAGAGCAAGGAGUGUGGGUAGCCAGCUACUGUACCAGGUGUCAGCAUGUUCACUGCUGAUGGAUUCCUGUUUCUCCAAUGGGAGUUUCUGAUGGCCACAACACUGUGUUGACAGAAGUGACAGAACCUUGGCGAGGGACAGCAAACAGCACCAGGACAGAGCCUCUGCAGACGCCAACAGGCACUGACUACUUAGUAUUUUCACUAUGGUAUUUUAUGAGAGACUAUGAUGUACAAAUCAAUAUGCACAAAAUGAAAUGACAUAAAAUUAAUAUUAUUUUUAUUGUAUACUCCUAUUAGAGGAUGCCAACCUUGCUAUCAGCAUGAGGAUAUCUGCGGGUGCAGAGGGAGAUAAUAUAUCUAGCUGUUCUAUUAUCAUGAUCCAGACACUGUAUGUUUGUUAACAGCUAUACUAUUUCUUAAAUAUUAAACUGUAAGAGUGUGGACUAGAUGAUCAGAUCUUUAAUGAACAAAAAUAUAAACGAAACAUGCAACAAUUUCUAAGAUUUUACUGGAGGCGGCUUAUGGUUGGAGGCGGCUUAUGGUAGAAGCUCUGCUGGACAUUCCUGCAGCCAGCAUGCCAAUUGCACUCUCCCUCAAAACUUGAGACAUCUGUGGCAUUGUGUUGUGUGACAAAACUACACAUUUUAGAGUGGCCUUUUAUUGUCCCCAGCACAAGGUGCACCUGUGUAAUGAUCAUGCUGUUUAAUCAGCUUCUUAAUAUGCCACACCUGUCAGGUGGAUGGAUUAUCUUGGCAAAGGAGAAAUGCUCACUAACAAGGAUGUAAACAAAUUUGUGCACAGAAUUUGAGAGAAAUAAGCUUUUUGUGUGAAUGGAAAAUGUCUGGGACAUUUUAUUUCAGCUCAUGAAACAUGGAACCAACACUUUAAAUUUUGCUUUUAUAUUUUUGUUCAGUGUAUAUUAUUUCCAAUUUAUAUAAAGUUUGCCAAAUUAUUUUUUUAUCAUAAAAACUCAAACAUUGUUUUAAUGGCACUUUUCCAAAAACAUUGUAUCAAACACAGCCACAAUCGAGAAGUAUUGUUGUUGUGGAGUGGCAUAGGGAUUUAUUGUGACAGACCAGCUGCUAGUGUAAUUAUGCUGCAUGGCAUUGUGAGAUGCCUAACUAUCUGAGGUGGUUUAUUGCAUGAAUUUGAC